GCGGUCGUGGCGGAAUUGGCAGACGCGCAAGAUUCAGGUUCUUGUCCAGGCAACUGGGUGGAGGUUCAAGUCCUCUCGACCGCACCA
RNAcentral lists this transfer RNA (87 nucleotides) under Paenalicyclobacillus cellulosilyticus. Its description in RNAcentral is "Alicyclobacillus cellulosilyticus tRNA-Leu". It matches the Rfam family "tRNA". From Rfam's summary of the family: Transfer RNA (tRNA) molecules are approximately 80 nucleotides in length. Their secondary structure includes four short double-helical elements and three loops (D, anti-codon, and T loops). The record is from RNAcentral. Lineage: Bacteria; Bacillati; Bacillota; Bacilli; Caryophanales; Alicyclobacillaceae.